Molecule: ribosomal RNA, 540 nt
Filed under: Mycolicibacterium alvei
Lineage: Bacteria; Bacillati; Actinomycetota; Actinomycetes; Mycobacteriales; Mycobacteriaceae
Description: bacterial SSU rRNA
Rfam family: Bacterial small subunit ribosomal RNA
Source: RNAcentral
GUGCUUAACACAUGCAAGUCGAACGGAAAGGCCCUUCGGGGUACUCGAGUGGCGAACGGGUGAGUAACACGUGGGUGAUCUGCCCUGCACUUUGGGAUAAGCCUGGGAAACUGGGUCUAAUACCGAAUAUGACCAUGCACUUCCUGGUGUGUGGUGGAAAGCUUUUGCGGUGUGGGAUGGGCCCGCGGCCUAUCAGCUUGUUGGUGGGGUAAUGGCCUACCAAGGCGACGACGGGUAGCCGGCCUGAGAGGGUGACCGGCCACACUGGGACUGAGAUACGGCCCAGACUCCUACGGGAGGCAGCAGUGGGGAAUAUUGCACAAUGGGCGCAAGCCUGAUGCAGCGACGCCGCGUGAGGGAUGACGGCCUUCGGGUUGUAAACCUCUUUCAAUAGGGACGAAGCGCAAGUGACGGUACCUAUAGAAGAAGGACCGGCCAACUACGUGCCAGCAGCCGCGGUAAUACGUAGGGUCCGAGCGUUGUCCGGAAUUACUGGGCGUAAAGAGCUCGUAGGUGGUUUGUCGCGUUGUUCGUGAAAUC